UUGGAGGGCAAGUCUGGUGCCAGCAGCCGCGGUAAUUCCAGCUCCAAUAGCGUAUAUUAAAGUUGUUGCAGUUAAAAAGCUCGUAGUUGAAUUUCGGGGUCAGUAGGUUGGUCAUGCCACUGGUAUGCACUGGUCUCACUGAUUCCUCCUUCCUGAUGAACCGUAAUGCCAUUAAUUUGGUGUUGCGGGGAAUCUGGACUGUUACUUUGAAAAAAUUAGAGUGUUUAAAGCAGGCUAACGCUUGAAUACAUUAGCAUGGAAUAAUGAAAUAGGACGAUCGAUCCUAUUUUGUUGGUUUCUAGGAUUGACGUAAUGAUUAAUAGGGAUAGUUGGGGGCAUUAGUAUUCAAUUGUCAGAGGUGAAAUUCUUGGAUUUAUUGAAGACUAACUACUGCGAAAGCAUUUGCCAAGGAUGUUUUCAUUAAUCAAGAACGAAAGUUAGGGGAUCGAAGACGAUCAGAUACCGUCGUAGUCUUAACCAUAAACUAUGCCGACUAGGGAUCGGAUGAUGUUAAUUUUUUAAUGACUCAUUCGGCGCCUUACGGGAAA
RNAcentral lists this ribosomal RNA (548 nucleotides) under uncultured Glomeromycotina. RNAcentral describes it as "SSU rRNA". It matches the Rfam family "Eukaryotic small subunit ribosomal RNA", at positions 548 to 1097 of the family's 1831-position model. The record is from RNAcentral. Lineage: Eukaryota; Fungi; Glomeromycota.